MicroRNA precursor from Pan troglodytes (chimpanzee), 75 nucleotides. It matches the Rfam family "mir-591 microRNA precursor family". The record is from Rfam. Lineage: Eukaryota; Metazoa; Chordata; Mammalia; Primates; Hominidae.
AUGAGGCAGACCAUGGGUUCUCAUUGUAAUAGUGUAGAAUGUUGGUUAACUGUGGACUCCCUGGCUCUGUCUCAA